CCCUUAGAUGUUCGGGGCCGCACGCGCGCUACACUGAAGGACUCAGCGUGUCUCUCCCCCUAUCCCGAAAGGGAUGGGCAACCCGUUGAACCUCCUUCGUGCUAGGGAUUGGGGUUUGCAAUUAUCCCCCAUGAACGAGGAAUUCCCAGUAAGCGCGAGUCAUCAGCUCGCGUUGAUUACGUCCCUGCCCUUUGUACACACCGCCCGUCGCUACUACCGAUUGGAUGGUCUAGUGAGACCCUCGGAUCGGUCCCGACUCGGGGUGGGCUUCUGCCCCGGUCGUGGUUUCGCCGAGAAGACGGUCAAACCUGACUAUCUAGAGGAAGUAAAAGUCGUAACA
RNAcentral lists this ribosomal RNA (340 nucleotides) under uncultured eukaryote. Its description in RNAcentral is "partial 18S ribosomal RNA". It matches the Rfam family "Eukaryotic small subunit ribosomal RNA", at positions 1470 to 1796 of the family's 1831-position model. The record is from RNAcentral.